GACGAACCGAGCGAACGUUGUUCGGAAUCACUGGGCGUAAAGGGCUCGUAGGUGGCCAACUAAGUCAGACGUGAAAUCCCUCAGCUUAACUGGGGAACUGCGUCUGAUACUGGAUGGCUUGAGUUUGGGAGAGGGAUGCGGAAUUCCAGGUGUAGCGGUGAAAUGCGUAGAUAUCUGGAGGAACACCGGUGGCGAAGGCGGCAUCCUGGACCAACACUGACACUGAGGAGCGAAAGCCAGGGGAGCAAACGGG
RNAcentral lists this ribosomal RNA (253 nucleotides) under uncultured bacterium. RNAcentral describes it as "partial 16S ribosomal RNA". It matches the Rfam family "Bacterial small subunit ribosomal RNA", at positions 524 to 776 of the family's 1533-position model. The record is from RNAcentral.